RNAcentral lists this ribosomal RNA (453 nucleotides) under uncultured Porphyromonadaceae bacterium. RNAcentral's name for it is "partial 16S ribosomal RNA". It matches the Rfam family "Bacterial small subunit ribosomal RNA", at positions 341 to 792 of the family's 1533-position model. Lineage: Bacteria; Pseudomonadati; Bacteroidota; Bacteroidia; Bacteroidales; Porphyromonadaceae. The record is from RNAcentral.
ACGGAAGGCAGCAGUGAGGAAUAUUGGUCAAUGGGCGGAAGCCUGAACCAGCCAAGUCGCGUGAAGGAUGAAGGUAUUAUGUAUUGUAAACUUCUUUAGCAGCAGAGUAAUAAGGUCCUCGUGAGGGCUGAUGCAAGUAUGCUGAAAAUAAGGAUCGGCUAACUCCGUGCCAGCAGCCGCGGUAAUACGGAGGAUCCGAGCGUUAUCCGGAUUUAUUGGGUUUAAAGGGUGCGCAGGCGGCUUUUUAAGUCAGCGGUAAAAGCGUGGGGCUCAACCCCAUCCUGCCGUUGAUACUGGAGAGCUUGAUUGCGGUUGAGGUUGGCGGAAUUCGUCGUGUAGCGGUGAAAUGCAUAGAUAUGACGAAGAACACCGAUUGCGUAGGCAGCUGACCAAGCCGUAAAUGACGCUCAUGCACGAAAGUGCGGGGAUCGAACAGGAUUAGAUACCCUGGUA